Molecule: ribosomal RNA, 281 nt
Filed under: uncultured bacterium
Lineage: Bacteria
Description: partial 16S ribosomal RNA
Rfam family: Bacterial small subunit ribosomal RNA
Source: RNAcentral
UGGGGAAUAUUGCACAAUGGGCGAAAGCCUGAUGCAGCAACGCCGCGCGAGUGAUGAAGGUCUUCGGAUUGUAAAGCUCUGUCUUUUGGGACGAUAAUGACGGUACCAAAGGAGGAAGCCACGGCUAACUACGUGCCAGCAGCCGCGGUAAUACGUAGGUGGCGAGCGUUGUCCGGAUUUACUGGGCGUAAAGGGUGCGUAGGCGGAUGUUUAAGUGAGAUGUGAAAUACCCGGGCUUAACUUGGGUGCUGCAUUUCAAACUGGAUAUCUAGAGUGCAGGA